CAGUCGCCGCGGGAAUACGAAGGGUGCAAGCGUUAAUCGGAAUUACUGGGCGUAAAGCGUGCGUAGGCGGUGAGUUAAGUCUGCUGUGAAAUCCCCGGGCUCAACCUGGGAAUGGCAGUGGAUACUGGCUCGCUAGAGUGUGUCAGAGGAUGGUAGAAUUCCCGGCGUAGCGGUGAAACGCGUAGAGAUCGGGAGGAACAUCAGUGGCGAAGGCGGCCAUCUGGGACAACACUGACGCUGAGGCACGAAAGCGUGGGGAGCAAACAGGAUUAGAUACCCGUGUAGUCCCUGUCUCUUAUAC
This 301-nucleotide ribosomal RNA is filed under the name uncultured bacterium. RNAcentral's name for it is "partial 16S ribosomal RNA". It matches the Rfam family "Bacterial small subunit ribosomal RNA", at positions 509 to 807 of the family's 1533-position model. The record is from RNAcentral.